UCUCAUCUAUAUAUAAGCGUGGUUUGCUGCACACGAAUCAUUUCAGCGUGAAAAAUGCGCAAGUUUAAACUGUUGGUGGCAGCCCUCGCCCUCCUUGUAGUUGUUCACUCAGUAUCUGCAGACUGGGAUGACUGGUACCGUGAAAGAAUCCGUUGGAGACAUUGUCCACCUCAUCUCCGAUUGUCAUAUGCUCCAUAUUGCUAUCGCAACUGGCGCUACUUUGAUAAUUCGUGGUUCGGACGAGGACGAGACAGAUCGUGGUGGGACUGGAACAGAAGAGAUGGAGGCAGGGGUCGCAACUAAACAUUAAUCACACGCUAUUCAUUGUUAUAUCUAGCUCAAUAAAGUAAAAUUUGUCAUUUAAACGGAUUAUUUAAUACAAAUUAUGAAAACUGUUGAUUGAGUCAGUGCAAAAAAGUGAUGAAAUGAAUAUUAGCUAACGAAGCCCGCACAUUAGACUGCAGCAUUGGGUUACCGCAGGCUCGCAGAGUGCAAUUAUGUCACUUCUGGAAGUGGGUGGUUCCACCUUUCGUGCAUGGAGGUGGGUACCUUUAAAAGUCUGGCACUAUCGUGAGACCAGUUCAGAAGCAUGGAGAAGAGCGGCUUGCUCUUACUGUUGAUUGUCGCCCUAUCCGUUGUCUCAGUCAACGCAGAUGGCAGUGGAUGGUACAUAUCUGAUCCAAACCACUAUAAGAGAUGGAGGAAGUGGCCAAAACGAUUCGAUGGAUGGUACGCUUGGAGAUGGAACCACGACGCUAUUGUCGAUUUUGACACGGUUCCACCACUUCCCAGGAAUAAACACAUUAAUGUCUAUGUUUAGCUUGAUCUACUCAAUUUUUGUACACUUUUAUUAUUUAAAUAAAUGCAAGCGUUUGU
Long non-coding RNA from Cloeon dipterum, 876 nucleotides. RefSeq lists it as uncharacterized. The record is from RefSeq and is a predicted model, not a curated record. The transcript has 3 exons. Lineage: Eukaryota; Metazoa; Arthropoda; Insecta; Ephemeroptera; Baetidae.